This 164-nucleotide ribosomal RNA is filed under the name uncultured bacterium. Its description in RNAcentral is "partial 16S rRNA". It matches the Rfam family "Bacterial small subunit ribosomal RNA", at positions 355 to 511 of the family's 1533-position model. The record is from RNAcentral.
UAGGGAAUCUUCCACAAUGGGCGCAAGUCUGAUGGAGCAACGCCGCGUGAGUGAAGAAGGUCUUCGGAUCGUAAAACUCUGUUGUUAGAGAAGAACACGAGUGAGAGUAACUGUUCAUUCGAUGACGGUAUCUAACCAGCAAGUCACGGCUAACUACGUGCUAG